RNAcentral lists this non-coding RNA (93 nucleotides) under uncultured Blautia sp. RNAcentral also lists the same sequence under 1 other name. The record is from RNAcentral. Lineage: Bacteria; Bacillati; Bacillota; Clostridia; Lachnospirales; Lachnospiraceae.
AUAGGGAGCUCAAAUAGAUGGGCUGAGAGUAGACUUGAUUAGUCUUGACCUGGAACCUGAUUUGGAUAAUGCCAACGUAGGGAAAUAGGAAAU